GCCGAGGUAGCCAAGUUGGUCAAGGCACCUGUCUGAAGAACAGGCCAUCUCAGUUCGAUUCUGAGCCUCGGCACCA
This 76-nucleotide transfer RNA is filed under the name bacterium. RNAcentral describes it as "tRNA-Phe". It matches the Rfam family "tRNA". From Rfam's summary of the family: Transfer RNA (tRNA) molecules are approximately 80 nucleotides in length. Their secondary structure includes four short double-helical elements and three loops (D, anti-codon, and T loops). The record is from RNAcentral.